RNAcentral lists this unclassified non-coding RNA (202 nucleotides) under Hevea brasiliensis (rubber tree). The record is from RNAcentral. Lineage: Eukaryota; Viridiplantae; Streptophyta; Magnoliopsida; Malpighiales; Euphorbiaceae.
GUCGGCCGACGCCUGCUGCGCGGAGAUGCCGAAUGCGUCCGUUAGGUCGCUUCGGUUGAACCGACCGUCCCAAAAGAGGCGGAAAUCGAUGAACUCCAGACGUCGGCGAACUCCCCAGCGCAGCUGCUCGCCACCGUCUCCCAUAUACCGUCCUCCAAAAAACCAGAUUCUCCCUCGACAAUCGCGUCUAGUUACUUGACGA